AACGCUAGCUACAGGCUUAACACAUGCAAGUCGAGGGGCAGCAUGAACUUAGCUUGCUAAGUUUGAUGGCGACCGGCGCACGGGUGCGUAACGCGUAUCCAAUCUGCCCGUCACUCGGGGAUAGGCUUUCGAAAGAAAGAUUAAUACCCGAUGGUUUUGUUUUCCCGCAUGGGAUGAUAAAUAAAGAAUUUCGGUGACGGAUGAGGAUGCGUUCCAUUAGGCAGUUGGCGGGGUAACGGCCCACCAAACCUACGAUGGAUAGGGGUUCUGAGAGGAAGGUCCCCCACAUUGGAACUGAGACACGGUCCAAACUCCUACGGGAGGCAGCAGUGAGGAAUAUUGGUCAAUGGACGCGAGUCUGAACCAGCCAAGUAGCGUGCAGGAUGACGGCCCUCCGGGUUGUAAACUGCUUUUAUUGGGGAAUAAAGUGAGGCACGUGUGCCUUUUUGUAUGUACCCAUAUGAAUAAGCAUCGGCUAAUUCCGUGCCAGCAGCCGCGGUAAUACGGAAGAUGCGAGCGUUAUCCGGAUUUAUUGGGUUUAAAGGGAGCGUAGGCCGGAGAUUAAGCGUGUUGUGAAAUGUAGAUGCUCAACAUCUGAACUGCAGCGCGAACUGGUUUCCUUGAGUACGCACAAAGUGGGCGGAAUUCGUGGUGUAGCGGUGAAAUGCUUAGAUAUCACGAAGAACUCCGAUUG
RNAcentral lists this ribosomal RNA (694 nucleotides) under uncultured bacterium. Its description in RNAcentral is "bacterial SSU rRNA". It matches the Rfam family "Bacterial small subunit ribosomal RNA", at positions 32 to 715 of the family's 1533-position model. The record is from RNAcentral.